Molecule: long non-coding RNA, 3075 nt
Organism: Brassica napus (rape)
Lineage: Eukaryota; Viridiplantae; Streptophyta; Magnoliopsida; Brassicales; Brassicaceae
Exons: 5
Source: RefSeq, a predicted model, not a curated record
CAUGUGAUCUUUGUAGAUUGCAGUCGAGUCUUCCAUACAACCAGAACACCGAUCUACUCACCGUUUCGAGUAUCAAAGGAUGGGUCGAGAACACAGGUUAAUUUGGAAGUGAGGCCUAAUUUAUAAGGUUCAAGAGAAACGUAAUGAAUGGAUCAAUCGCAACAUAACUCGAGAUCGACGAUGUUUGUGCAGUAGCGGAAACAAAUAAGUAGAAUUAGAUAACGACUCUAAUAGCUCCUUGAGCAGGUGCUAUUCUUCUGAGCGAACACUCCGCUAAGAGGAACCAAGAAGGUAAUUCUUCUCCUUUCUCUCUCGCACCAACUUUAGGUUUCAGAUUAAUUCGGGAGAUUUGCUGUGGGAAUUGUUAAUAAGUGCAGAUCAUGUUGGUAAGUUGGGCGCUCAAAUCAAGUGUUCUUUUUAUCGUCUCUCUCAUUUGCAGUAUUUUUUACUAAAAUAAGUUUAUAAUUUCGCACAUGCAUGAGUUGUUUGUUUAAGGUAAAAUUCAAAAUCUAAAAUACAGUAAAACUAAACCUAUUUGGUAUUUAUAUCGGAUUCAGUUUAGUUUAGAUCAAAUUUCCGGAUCCAUUCAACCAAUUCGGCAUUUCUGCCUAUCUCUGCUUAAAAUGAUUAAUUAAGUUUAAGAAGUUUUGUAAUAAAUAUUCCAAAAAUAGAUACCAAUUGAUGAAAGCAAUUAAAUAUCAAAACAUAAAUAUCAUAGAGUAAUAGUAUCGAACAAAGUACAUAAAUAUCAAUGUUAUAGAAUUAUACAAUAUAUAAUUAAGAUCAAAUUAUAACUGUUAUCAUCUCAACUCUAGUAUUACAUGUACCUAUCGAAGACAUAAAGUCCUAUAUUCGCAUCUGUCAUUUCUUACUUUGAAUCUAUAAAAUUACCAAGGUUAAACCAAGAGAUAUGUCAUCAGUGUUAUAAAAAUCGGUUUAUACAUCAUUUAGGUGUCCGUCUAGUCGACAAAAAAUGGUAUACUCGCUUAAAAUACCGGUUUAGGCGUCCACCUAAUCAAUAAUCUCAUAUAAAACCUUUAAUUACCGCUUAUCAAUUUCUUGAACAAUGUAUAUCACUGAAUCAUACACAGAGACAGACCCAGGAAUAAGUUUUGAGGGGGUCAUAAACCAUUUUUUACCAGCUCAGCUACUGACUAUUUAUUAAUUUCUUAUACAAAACUAUCAUAUUUUUAUAGUGUCAAGUGACCUCACUCCUCUUUAUGUAGGCACGCCCCUGAUCAUAUAUGUAUUAAGAUGACCUGUUCAGUUUAACAAACCCGGUGUGGGUUCUCAUUUUACCAAAACCGAUCAUGAUAUAACAAUCUUUACCCGAUUCUCAGUAUCACUUCUUUUGUGUUGCUCAAUAUUCUGUUAUGCGAUGCCAAGUUACUCAAAUGGAUCCAUGUGAUUCUAAAAGAUAAGACUAAUCUAUAACAUACAAUACAAUGCAAGCUAAAUAGGGAAUCAACAUAGGGUUUAUUUCCUUCUACAUACAUAAGGCUGCAUCUCCAUCCGUCCACCAACAAUGACCAAACUAGUAUCAACGUGCUUCAAUGUGUAACUGCUUAUUGAAAUUGCGAUAUUUCUAUGGUGUGCAUUAUCCUCUUGUUCUUCCAUCAACAUGAGUAAGUAGAAGGACUAAGUCACAAUAAUUGAGAAGAGGAUAACAGAAACCUGCAGAUUCAUUUCCUAGAGUUUUUUUUUUUUAAGUUGUGAUCAAAGCAAAUCAGAGACCAACGAGGACAACAUCAAGAAGCAAUUAAGUAACCUUGAUUUUUUGCAUCGUUUGGUAGUAACGAGGACCUCCGUCCCAUCGCCGUUAAGGUCAGCUAUAAUAGGUAGUGGGAGACGAUAGACUUCGUGUUUGAUUGGGUAAUAAUCGUACAAAUGGAACCAUGCUUCAGUUGACAGUAUGCUCCUCUGUUUGUUUUUGAAUUUCAUCAAUUAAUGUCUAUGUUCCCAAAGAUAGGGUGACAAAAUCUUCAUUAAGGUUAUGGAAUCAUUGAGUUCCUUAGUGAGUAAGUCGCUGACUAUGUAAGUCUUUCCCUUUUCCAUGAGUUUUAACGUCUUUCUCUACACAAUAGUAACCGUUUAUUUCCAUGUGCAGAAAAACACAAUAGUAACCAUUUAUUUACAUGUGCAGACAAUUAAGGUUCUUAACAUGAUUAAGCUCCAUGGAAAACCUAUAUUUGUUAACAAGUAGGCAUCUAAAGAUAAGAAGAUCAUCAAUGUUGGUGCUAACCUUUGGAAACAGUUAAAAUGAUGGUUUUUAUUUACGCUUCUGCCAAAGGAUGCACAUUAGAAAAUCUUAUAAGAGAGAUAGAACAAAAUGGGUGCGGAUUUUGAGCCCUGCGAAUCGGGUUGUUCUUGGUAAGUCCAAAAUCUCCAAGAAGCGUAAAGAUUUGCUUGUCGGAGUUGGUCAUGUUUAUUUUGAUGCCAAGGGCCAAUAACUGCGGAUUUUAACCGAAUUCAACAAGUGAUCAUUCGACAGCAACUACUACGCUGAGAGAGCAGCACGGGGAUGGUAGUAGUGAAAAGACAAGUUUAACCCAAUAUAGUAAAGAAAACAGUAAAGCUCGAGGAAGAGACAUCAGAAAAGAAAUAUGACAAGUUUAUUAAACUAACUGUCUCACUCUCAAUACGCCAGAGAUACCAGCUAUGAAUGAGUGUUUUGUGGAGCUGGUAGCAGCAAGAGUCAUCGUAGAUUCUGUAAUCAGCGGAUGAUAGCAAAACGUGGUCGGAUUUCAAAAGAAGUUAUAUGAAAAAAGAUCUAUAGCAAAGUCGGAUGAAUGCUUCAAUCUGACCAACGUUGAUUCUCCACCUUACUAUCUUUUGCUCAUUAACUUUUCUUUUAAGGUAAAUCUUCGCUUCCACACAAAAGCAGCUAAAAGCAAGUUUCAAACACUAUUUUAGUUGGGUAGCUAUGAAAGCUUCGUAUAGAUAAAUAUAUAAAUAAGUGACCCUGAGGAAAUUAUAUAAUUUUCUAGGAAUAAAUUAUUAUUAUUAUUUUCUUUGAAUAAAUUAUUGUCAAACUUAUAAGAUAUUGUUAAUAUUAUGUUGUAGAAUGUUUCGCAA